RNAcentral lists this ribosomal RNA (567 nucleotides) under Triticum aestivum (bread wheat). RNAcentral's name for it is "partial small subunit ribosomal RNA". The record is from RNAcentral. Lineage: Eukaryota; Viridiplantae; Streptophyta; Magnoliopsida; Poales; Poaceae.
AUGCUAGAUGUUUGUGCUGAAAAUUUAAAUUUUCUUAGCCAUCCUUGUGAACUUUGCAAUGAACAUGGUCAUUUAAAUAUCCAAUGCAAAUUGUUUCAUGAUCGAAUCGUGUCCAAAAAUUGUGAUGACUUGAUUUCCCUUGCACAUCAUAAUGAACUUAGUUUGCUUCUAGGUUAUGAAGAAAUGAAAUGUAUAAUUAAGGAUAUUCCAGAAUUUUCCCUUGAUAAUGUUCUUGAUUUUGAUCUAGAGGAAAUUUAUAUGUAUUGUGCGGUGAAUUGCAUUGAAAUUCCCUAUAUUUCCAAUUACAUAAAGACAAGAAAACAAAUAGAAGAUGAAGAGAAUACUAAUGAAAGGGAAGAGACUUCCCAGUAUCCUCCUAUUAUUUCUUAUGAUGAAUCAGGUAACGAGGAGGAGCCUUCUAUUCAACCAGUCUCAUUAAUAAGGAGCUCCAGAAAGAGGAUUAAACCCACACAUGGUGUGGAGAAGAAAAAGAAAAUACGGAGAAGCAAAGUUUUGUGUUGUGAAGUUUUCAAGUUUUGGGUAAAGAUUCGAUGGACUAUGGAAUAA